GGUUAAGCGACUAAGCGUACACGGUGGAUGCCCUGGCAGUCAGAGGCGAUGAAGGACGUGCUAAUCUGCGAAAAGCGUCGGUAAGGUGAUAUGAACCGUUAUAACCGGCGAUGUCCGAAUGGGGAAACCCAGUGCAAUUCGUUGCACUAUCGUUAACUGAAUACAUAGGUUAACGAGGCGAACCGGGGGAACUGAAACAUCUAAGUACCCCGAGGAAAAGAAAUCAACCGAGAUUCCCCCAGUAGCGGCGAGCGAACGGGGAGCAGCCCAGAGUCUGAAUCAGCUUGUGUGUUAGUGGAACGGUCUGGAAAGUCCGACGGUACAGGGUGAUAGUCCCGUACACCAAAAUGCACAGGCUGUGAACUCGAAGAGUAGGGCGGGACACGUGGUAUCCUGUCUGAAUAUGGGGGGACCAUCCUCCAAGGCUAAAUACUCCUGACUGACCGAUAGUGAACCAGUACCGUGAGGGAAAGGCGAAAAGAACCCCGGCGAGGGGAGUGAAAAGAACCUGAAACCGUGUACGUACAAGCAGUGGGAGCACCUUCGGGUGUGACUGCGUACCUUUGUAUAAUGGGUCAGCGACUUAUAUUCUGUAGCAAGGUUAACCGUAUAGGGAGCCGCAGGGAAACCGAGUCUUAACUGGGCGUUAAGUUGCAGGGUAUAGACCCGAAACCCGGUGAUCAGCCAUGGGCAGGUUGAAGGUUGGGUAACACUAACUGGAGGACCGAACCGACUAAUGUUGAAAAAUUAGCGGAUGACUUGUGGCUGGGGUGAAAGGCCAAUCAAACCGGGAGAUAGCUGGUUCUCCCGAAAGCUAUUUAGGUAGCGCCUCGUGAAUUCAUCUUCGGGGGUAGAGCACUGUUUCGGCUAGGGGGUCAUCCCGACUUACCAACCCGAUGCAAACUACGAAUACCGAAGAAUGUUAUCACGGGAGACACACGGCGGGUGCUAACGUCCGUCGUGAAGAGGAAACAACCCAGACCGCCAGCUAAGGUCCCAAAGUCAUGGUUAAGUGGGAAACGAUGUGGGAAGGCACAGACAGCCAGGAUGUUGGCUUAGAAGCAGCCAUCAUUUAAAGAAAGCGUAAUAGCUCACUGGUCGAGUCGGCCUGCGCGGAAGAUGUAACGGGGCUAAACCAUGCACCGAAGCUGCGGCAGCGACACUAUGUGUUGUUGGGUAGGGAGCGUUCUGUAAGCCUGCGAAGGUGACCUGUGAGGGUUGCUGGAGGUAUCAGAAGUGCGAAUGCUGACAUAAGUAACGAUAAAGCGGGUGAAAAGCCCGCUCGCCGGAAGACCAAGGGUUCCUGUCCAACGUUAAUCGGGGCAGGGUGAGUCGACCCCUAAGGCGAGGCCGAAAGGCGUAGUCGAUGGGAAACAGGUUAAUAUUCCUGUACUUGGUGUUACUGCGAAGGGGGGACGGAGAAGGCUAUGUUAGCCGGGCGACGGUUGUCCCGGUUUAAGCAUGUAGGCUGGUUAUCCAGGCAAAUCCGGAUAAUCAAGGCUGAGGUGUGAUGACGAGGCACUACGGUGCUGAAGUAACAAAUGCCCUGCUUCCAGGAAAAGCCUCUAAGCAUCAGGUAACAUCAAAUCGUACCCCAAACCGACACAGGUGGUCAGGUAGAGAAUACCAAGGCGCUUGAGAGAACUCGGGUGAAGGAACUAGGCAAAAUGGUGCCGUAACUUCGGGAGAAGGCACGCUGGUGUGUAGGUGAAGUCCCUGCGGAUGGAGCUGAGACCAGUCGAAGAUACCAGCUGGCUGCAACUGUUUAUUAAAAACACAGCACUGUGCAAACACGAAAGUGGACGUAUACGGUGUGACGCCUGCCCGGUGCCGGAAGGUUAAUUGAUGGGGUUAUCCGUAAGGAGAAGCUCUUGAUCGAAGCCCCGGUAAACGGCGGCCGUAACUAUAACGGUCCUAAGGUAGCGAAAUUCCUUGUCGGGUAAGUUCCGACCUGCACGAAUGGCGUAAUGAUGGCCAGGCUGUCUCCACCCGAGACUCAGUGAAAUUGAACUCGCUGUGAAGAUGCAGUGUACCCGCGGCAAGACGGAAAGACCCCGUGAACCUUUACUAUAGCUUGACACUGAACAUUGAGCCUUGAUGUGUAGGAUAGGUGGGAGGCUUUGAAGCGUGGACGCCAGUCUGCGUGGAGCCAACCUUGAAAUACCACCCUUUAAUGUUUGAUGUUCUAACGUUGGCCCUUACCGGGGUUGCGGACAGUGUCUGGUGGGUAGUUUGACUGGGGCGGUCUCCUCCCAAAGCGUAACGGAGGAGCACGAAGGUUAGCUAAUCGGUCGGACAUCAGGAGGUUAGUGCAAUGGCAUAAGCUAGCUUGACUGCGAGCGUGACGGCGCGAGCAGGUGCGAAAGCAGGUCAUAGUGAUCCGGUGGUUCUGAAUGGAAGGGCCAUCGCUCAACGGAUAAAAGGUACUCCGGGGAUAACAGGCUGAUACCGCCCAAGAGUUCAUAUCGACGGCGGUGUUUGGCACCUCGAUGUCGGCUCAUCACAUCCUGGGGCUGAAGUAGGUCCCAAGGGUAUGGCUGUUCGCCAUUUAAAGUGGUACGCGAGCUGGGUUUAGAACGUCGUGAGACAGUUCGGUCCCUAUCUGCCGUGGGCGCUGGAGAAUUGAGGGGGGCUGCUCCUAGUACGAGAGGACCGGAGUGGACGCAUCACUGGUGUUCGGGUUGUCAUGCCAAUGGCACUGCCCGGUAGCUAAAUGCGGAAGAGAUAAGUGCUGAAAGCAUCUAAGCACGAAACUUGCCCCGAGAUGAGUUCUCCCUGAGACUUUAAGUCUCCUGAAGGAACGUUGAAGACGACGACGUUGAUAGGCCGGGUGUGUAAGCGCAGCGAUGCGUUGAGCUAACCGGUACUAAUGAACCGUGAGGCUUAACCUU
This 2891-nucleotide ribosomal RNA is filed under the name Klebsiella pneumoniae. RNAcentral's name for it is "23S ribosomal RNA". It matches the Rfam family "Bacterial large subunit ribosomal RNA". Lineage: Bacteria; Pseudomonadati; Pseudomonadota; Gammaproteobacteria; Enterobacterales; Enterobacteriaceae. The record is from RNAcentral.